GAAAUAGUUGCUUCCUUUCCAGAAGCAAAUGUCAAGAUUAGUAAGGAAAAGUCAAGGAAGUCCGCUGCAGUUGGAUAAAAUCUUGCUGUCCAGCUUCAUUUGAUGAAUGGCAGCUCCGUGUUACAGAAGAGCAGAGCUCACCCUGCCUCCUCUAAUUCUGAAGACCUGUAGCAGUGAAACUUCACCUUUGCCUUCCAAGCUUAAUUUUUAGUCUAUUAAGUCAUUUCUCAGGUGAAAACUUUUCCACAUCUUUGACUAUUUCUAACUCUUUUCUGUACAAAGAGGAGAAGCUACAGUAGAACUACAAGAGAAUAAAAAGUCAUUCCUUCAGCAGCUUUCCACUGUACGAAGCAGCCCUUUGUACCAGGUACCACACAUGCCUUCCCAGGGAAAUUUCUUUACAUUUUCCAAUUGGAUUCUGCCAGGAGGGUGAAAAAAUUAUUGUUUAUUCCAUAUUAUCAUGUUAGAAAUAAUGUGUAUGAGCUAUCUAUAAACUUAACAUAAAGUGACAUUAAUUUAGUGGCGUUAUAAGGCUGUUUUUCUGCUAGUGAAAAUGUUCCUAUUUAAGGAUAUAUAAUAACAAACAUUAUUUUCUGUUUCUCCAUUUCACUCCACAAUAAUUCUGGUAUUUUGCACAAGAUGCAGGUAUAUAUUACACAUUUUUAAGUCCCAAACACAUUUACCUGUGCACUGUCAGUGUCCCGGAUUCCUAAUACAUAUGGGUU
This is a long non-coding RNA of Vidua macroura (Pin-tailed whydah), 725 nucleotides long. RefSeq lists it as uncharacterized. The transcript has 3 exons. The record is from RefSeq and is a predicted model, not a curated record. NCBI's taxonomy places the organism in Eukaryota, Metazoa, Chordata, Aves, Passeriformes, Viduidae.